RNAcentral lists this ribosomal RNA (381 nucleotides) under Wolbachia endosymbiont of Maculinea nausithous. RNAcentral's name for it is "bacterial SSU rRNA". It matches the Rfam family "Bacterial small subunit ribosomal RNA", at positions 1038 to 1418 of the family's 1533-position model. The record is from RNAcentral. Lineage: Bacteria; Pseudomonadati; Pseudomonadota; Alphaproteobacteria; Rickettsiales; Anaplasmataceae.
GUGUUGCAUGGCUGUCGUCAGCUCGUGUCGUGAGAUGUUGGGUUAAGUCCCGCAACGAGCGCAACCCUCAUCCUUAGUUGCCAUCAGGUAAUGCUGAGUACUUUAAGGAAACUGCCAGUGAUAAGCUGGAGGAAGGUGGGGAUGAUGUCAAGUCAUCAUGGCCUUUAUGGAGUGGGCUACACACGUGCUACAAUGGUGUCUACAAUGGGCUGCAAGGUGCGCAAGCCUAAGCUAAUCCCUAAAAGACAUCUCAGUUCGGAUUGUACUCUGCAACUCGAGUACAUGAAGUUGGAAUCGCUAGUAAUCGUGGAUCAGCAUGCCACGGUGAAUACGUUCUCGGGUCUUGUACACACUGCCCGUCACGCCAUGGGAAUUGGUUUC